This 498-nucleotide non-coding RNA is filed under the name Stegodyphus mimosarum. RNAcentral's name for it is "eukaryotic small subunit ribosomal RNA". It matches the Rfam family "Eukaryotic small subunit ribosomal RNA", at positions 138 to 595 of the family's 1831-position model. Lineage: Eukaryota; Metazoa; Arthropoda; Arachnida; Araneae; Eresidae. The record is from Rfam by way of RNAcentral.
UUCCAACAAGAUGGUGCCACGUAUCAUAUGGUAACACCAUUAUCGGCGUACUGCAAAAUAUGUUUGGUGAAAGGAUUAUUUCACGAAUUACAGCUCCGAUCAUCUGGGCACGAGUGCUUUUAUUAGACCUAAACCAAUCGGGCCUCGUGUCGGUAUUAUGUGGCGACUUAAGUAUAACUUAGGGCUGAUUGCACGGGUUCGUCCAGACGACGUAUCCUUCAAGUGUCUGUCCUUUCAAUUGUCGGCGGUAUUUACUCGCCUAGUAUAGUCGAAACUAGUGACGAAAAAUCAGAGUUCGAUUCUGGAGAGGAAAACGGCUAUUACAUCCAAGGAAGACAGCAGGCGUGCAACUUACCUACUUCCAGAAUGGAGAGGUAGUGACGAAAAAUAACGAUACGGGACUCUUUUGAGACCCUGUAAGUGGAAUACAGUCUAAAUCAUUUAACUAGGAUCAAUUAGAGGGCAAGUAUGAUGCCAGCAGCCGCGGUCAUAGCUAGU